RNAcentral lists this ribosomal RNA (2394 nucleotides) under Triticum aestivum (bread wheat). RNAcentral describes it as "partial small subunit ribosomal RNA". The record is from RNAcentral. Lineage: Eukaryota; Viridiplantae; Streptophyta; Magnoliopsida; Poales; Poaceae.
AUGGAUCACCGCACCCUCUCGGUGGGCGAAAGAUGGCUGCGGAACACCCUCAAGCUCACUUCCUUGGGCUUGGCUUCGCUUGAGCGCAUGAUUGCAAGGCAACGUUCGCGAAUCCGAUGGCUGGCAGAAGGAGAUGCAAACACUAAGCUGUUCCAUCUGGUGGCUAAUGGCAGAAAGUUAAGGAAUUUCAUACCGACAUUGCAGCAUGACGGCACAGUCAUCACCGACCAAUGCGGCAAGGAGGAGGCUUUUUAUAAUGCAUAUAAGGAGUUAUUGGGCACGUACCAGGCUAGGGAGCACUCGAUUGAUCUUGACUUCCUGGGCAUAACUCCGCUAGAUCUUCAGGAGUUGGAUGCCAUCUACACGGAGGAGGAGGUCUACUCGGUUAUCAAAAGCAUGCCGGCCGAGAGAGCGCCGGGUCCGGAUGGCUUCAUUGGAUUGUUCUUCCACAGGGCGUGGAACAUUAUUAAAGGAGAUAUCAUGGCUUCAAUUCACAAACUCCAUCUUGGAAAUGGAAGGGUAUUUGGAAGAUUAAAUCAGGCAAUCAUUACCCUCAUCCCUAAGAGACCGGAUGCUUGCAGAAUUGGUGACUUCAGACCGAUCAGCCUACUACAUAGUAUCCCGAAGAUCAAGGCGAAGCUGAUGGCCUCGAGGCUAUGUCUGCGGAUGCAUGAGCUGGUCAGCAUCAACCAAUCGACAUAUAUAAGAGGCAGAAACAUACAUGACAACUUCAUGCUUGUCCGACAAGUAGCCAGGAGCCUGCAUCGGAGAAAGGCUAAAGGAGUUUUGGUCAAGCUUGAUAUCUCCCGUGCCUUCGACUUGCUCUCUUGGUCGUUCUUGCACGAGGUACUGAGAGCCAAAGGGUUCUCUGAGCAUUGGUAUUCUCAGCUUGCCAUACUCCUGUCUACAUCCAGCUCGCGAGUUCUUGUUAAUGGAUGCCCGGGCAGGAAAUUCAGACAUGCCAAAGGGCUGCGACAAGGGGACCCAGUUUCCCCACUGCUCUUCAUCAUUGCAAUGGACGCCCUCACGGCUAUGAUCGUGAAAGCGCAAGAGUGGGGCGCGAUUAGUGCCAUGCCAGGGUGCACGCCUUUCCAAAGGUUGUCGAUCUACGCGGAUGACGUUAUUCUCUUCAUCAGGCCGACCAUCGCUGAUCUAAGUUUUACCAGCUCUGCACUACAAAUGUUUGGCACUGCUUCCGGACUGCAUUUCAACUUCGCCAAGUCCUCUGCCAUCAUGAUACGCUCUGAUGAGACAGACACGAAGAGAGUUGCGACUGCUUUUCCGUGGCGCAUGGAAUCCUUCCCGUGCAAGUACCUUGGCAUGCAGCUCUCCAUCAAACAGCUCACUCGCUCAGAUUGGCAGCCAGUGGUAGACGAUGUGCUAAACUUCCUGCCAGGAUGGCAACGCGGAUUGUUCACAAGACCUGGCAGACUGAUUCUAGUCAACACGGUGAUCAGAGCAAGACCCACACACCAUAUGCUGGUGGCAGAUGCCCCAAAGUGGGCGCUGGAUCGCAUUGACAAGAGCUUCCGCGCUUUCUUCUGGGCGGGCUCUGAACAAAUCCAUGGAGGCAAGUGUCUGGUCUCGUGGCAAAAGGUGUGCCGGCCUAAGCAGCUUGGUGGUCUGGGCGUCUUGGAUUUGAACAAGCAUGGACUGGCUUUGCGAUUAAAGUGGGAAUGGCUUAAACGCAUGGAUGAUUCAAGACCCUGGCAGGGUUUGCCGCUAGCUAUGGAUGCCAACGUACAGGCGGCUUUCAACAGUCUUGUUCAUUGGAAAGUGGACAAUGGAGAGAGGGCCCUAUUCUGGAAAGAUCGGUGGAUCGAUGGUUCGACUAUGGAAGAGAUUGCACCACUGGUACGACAGCGUGUCCGCACGCGAGUGGUCAACAGGCGCACUGUCAGAGAGGCCCUGCACUUGCAUCGAUGGGCAAAUGACAUCACGGGUGAGCUCUCUAUUGAUGGGCUACUCCAGCUUAUCCAGCUCUGGGAUAUUAUGAUCAACACGGUGCUUGAUCUGAGGGGAAGCGACACCCCCUUAUGGAGAUGGAACAACAGCGGAGCAUACACCUCACGAUCGACCUAUGCCAUGUUGUGGCAUGGCGGUGUUCGCUUUGCCCCAGCCGCGGCAAUCUGGAAAUGUUGGGCGCCUUUAUCGUGCAAGCUGUUCAUGUGGCUUGCCAUGCAAUACCGGCUUUGGACGGCAGAUCGACGACUACGACAUGGGUUGCAAGACCAAGCAUCUGCCUGCUACAUCUGCGACCAAGAGGAGGACACGGUCGAUCAUAUCUUGCUCCGCUGCGUUUUCGCACGGCAAGUCUGGCAUUGCUACUUCCUCAGAGCCAGGAUCACGACUAACCUGGUCCCCACGACAGAUGACAAGAUUACAAACUGGUAG